AGGGCACCACCAGGAGUGGAGCCUGCGGCUUAAUUUGACUCAACACGGGGAAACUCACCCGGCCCGGACACCGUAAGGAUUGACAGAUUGAUAGCUCUUUCAUGAUUCGGUGGUUGGUGGUGCAUGGCCGUUCUUAGUUCGUGGAUCGAUUUGUCUGGUUUAUUCCGAUAACGAGCGAGACUCUAGCCUACUAAAUAGUAACGAGAUUAUCACUGUCUCAGUUGCUUCUUAGAGGGAUUUUCGGUGUUUAGCCGCACGAGAUUGAGCAAUAACAGGUCUGUGAUGCCCUUAGAUGUCCGGGGCUGCACGCGCGCUACACUGGCGAAAUCAGCGUGCUGUAUCCAUUCUCGAAAGGGAUUGGUAAACCCAUGAAAAUUUGCCGUGCUUGGGAUCGGAAAUUGCAAUUAUUUUCCGUGAACGAGGAAUUCCAAGUAAGUGCGAGUCAUCAACUCGCUCUGAUUACGUCCCUGCCCUUUGUACACACCGCCCGUCGCUGCCCGGGACUGAGCCAUUUCGAGA
This 519-nucleotide ribosomal RNA is filed under the name uncultured eukaryote. RNAcentral describes it as "SSU rRNA". It matches the Rfam family "Eukaryotic small subunit ribosomal RNA", at positions 1161 to 1704 of the family's 1831-position model. The record is from RNAcentral.